UGUAGAUAUCUAUAUAUGUAUGUGUAUGUGUGUGUGUGUGUGUGUAUAUAUAUACACACACACACACACAUACAUACAUAUACAUACACACACA
This 94-nucleotide microRNA precursor is filed under the name Marmota monax (woodchuck). Lineage: Eukaryota; Metazoa; Chordata; Mammalia; Rodentia; Sciuridae. The record is from RNAcentral.